Molecule: long non-coding RNA, 386 nt
Filed under: Rattus norvegicus (Norway rat)
Lineage: Eukaryota; Metazoa; Chordata; Mammalia; Rodentia; Muridae
Description: long non-coding RNA NONRATT000102
Source: RNAcentral
GUAGCAGCAGUGGCGGUGGGGUCCACAGGGGAGUUGAAGACGGAAUGGUAGCAAGCAAGCAGCGACGGCUGGAUGAAUACUCCCAGGAGACAAUGUGGACAUCUCAAGACAGGCACUGGACAAUGGCUGAAGACUUGUCUGAAGACUGGAAAUAUUUUGAAAAUUCAGAGAGAAAAAAAAGGCCCCUCUGAAUACACCGUACUCUAAGGACAGUUUAUGCAGGUGCUUCCUACACAAGAAGUCACAUGACCACAGAGUGUCAUUUGUCAAAGAACCAAGAACUUGUUCAAAACUCUACAGAGCAUCCAAUCUAUCACGUGGAUAUGCAAUAAUGAGAGCCUUCUGAAGAUGCCUAGACAAUCCUGGGAUGAGUAACAGUCUUUUAU